RNAcentral lists this long non-coding RNA (202 nucleotides) under Solanum tuberosum (potato). Its description in RNAcentral is "long non-coding RNA (STUB_LNC010191)". Lineage: Eukaryota; Viridiplantae; Streptophyta; Magnoliopsida; Solanales; Solanaceae. The record is from RNAcentral.
AUAUAGUCACUUUAACUCACACCUCACGAUUGUGAAACUUUUCAACAUUCACUUGAAACAAUUAACCGGCAUGUUAAAAUAGUUGCCAAGGCAAUUAGCAAGAUGACACCAAUAUUUAUCCAACCAAAAAAUAUGACUGGUGUACAUUCCAAAAUUUGACAUAAUACUCGAUUUUGGCCUUGGUUUAAGGUAAAAUUUCAAU